Molecule: ribosomal RNA, 453 nt
Filed under: uncultured bacterium
Lineage: Bacteria
Description: bacterial SSU rRNA
Rfam family: Bacterial small subunit ribosomal RNA
Source: RNAcentral
AACGAACGCUGGCGGCAUGCCUAACACAUGCAAGUCGAACGAACCCUUCGGGGUCAGUGGCGCACGGGUGCGUAACGCGUGGGGAUCUGCCCUUUGCUUCGGAAAUAACAGUUAGAAAUGACUGCUAAUACCGGAUGAUGUCUUCGGACCAAAGAUUUAUCGGCAAAGGAUGAACCCGCGUAGGAUUAGCUAGUUGGUGGGGUAAAGGCCUACCAAGGCGACGAUCCUUAGCUGGUCUGAGAGGAUGAUCAGCCACACUGGGACUGAGACACGGCCCAGACUCCUACGGGAGGCAGCAGUGGGGAAUAUUGGACAAUGGGCGAAAGCCUGAUCCAGCAAUGCCGCGUGAGUGAUGAAAGGCCUUAGGGUUGUAAAGCUCUUUUAUCAGGGAUGAUAAUGACAGUACCUGGAGAAUAAGCUCCGGCUAACUCCGUGCCCAGCAGCCGCAGUAAU